This 48-nucleotide non-coding RNA is filed under the name Trichobilharzia regenti. Lineage: Eukaryota; Metazoa; Platyhelminthes; Trematoda; Strigeidida; Schistosomatidae. The record is from RNAcentral.
AUCCAGAUGACGAGCCCCAAAUAGGAGGAAAUGUGCGUUAUCCUGGAU